RNAcentral lists this ribosomal RNA (507 nucleotides) under uncultured bacterium. RNAcentral describes it as "bacterial SSU rRNA". It matches the Rfam family "Bacterial small subunit ribosomal RNA", at positions 926 to 1427 of the family's 1533-position model. The record is from RNAcentral.
CAAGCGGUGGAGCAUGUGGUUUAAUUCGAAAGCAACGCGGCAAGAACCUUUACCACCUUUUGACAUGCCCGGACCGCCACAGGAGAUGUGGGCUUUUCCUUCGGGGACUGGGACACAGGUGCUGCACGGCUGUCGUCAGCUCGUGUCGUGAGAUGUUGGGUUAAGUCCCGCAACGAGCGCAACCCUCGCUGUUAGUUGCUACCAGGUUUGGCUGGGCACUCUAACAGGACCGCCGGUGGUAAGCCGGAGGAAGGUGGGGAUGACGUCAAGUCCUCAUGGCCCUUACAGGGUGGGCUACACACGUGCUACAAUGGCGACUACAGAGGGCUGCAAUCCCGCGAGGGGGAGCCAAUCCCUAAAAGUCGUCUCAGUUCGGAUUGCACUCUGCAACUCGAGUGCAUGAAGUUGGAAUCGCUAGUAAUCGCGGAUCAGCAUACCGCGGUGAAUACGUUCCCGGGCCUUGUACACACCGCCCGUCGCACCAUGGGAGUUGGCUUUACCGAAGGC